This 69-nucleotide transfer RNA is filed under the name Podarcis lilfordi (Lilford's wall lizard). RNAcentral's name for it is "tRNA.Ile". The stretch from base 4 to 61 matches the Rfam family "tRNA", at positions 9 to 63 of the family's 71-position model. From Rfam's summary of the family: Transfer RNA (tRNA) molecules are approximately 80 nucleotides in length. Their secondary structure includes four short double-helical elements and three loops (D, anti-codon, and T loops). The record is from RNAcentral. Lineage: Eukaryota; Metazoa; Chordata; Lepidosauria; Squamata; Lacertidae.
GCCAGCUCAGUUGGUUAGGGCAUGGUGUUGAUAACGCCAGGGUUGCAGGUUCGAUCCCCGUAAGGGACA